AAAACGCGUCUUCUGUAAGGGGGUGUUUUGUAAGGAAGCGCGACGCUCGGUCUGAACAUUAACACGCAUUGUUUAAGGGAUAGGGUUUCCACGAGGCCAUAUGUCCAUGUUACAGCGCUCGUUUAAAGAAAUCGGAUGGAAGAUGGUGGACUAGCUGUGCUAAUUAGCUAUCGGCAUCUCCGAACACGUGUGUAAACGGAAGACCGAGACUCCACAAAGGUGUCACUGAAAAAUACUGUGUUAAAAAUGGCUUAAACCAUGUACAGUAAGUGUGUGUGUUUUGCAUUUGUGAAAUAAUUUUGAUGUGGUAUGGAAGUAGAGGGAUUUAUGUUUCAAGAACUGUAUCACAAUUGAGAAUCAAUUCAUGUGGAGAUGGAGUAUUUGGCUGUUUUGUCUUCCAGAGCCAAUUCACCCUUUAAACAGAACUUGCAAGGUCCUUGGACUAAGCAGUAACAUUAGGCGUGGACUCAAGGUGUCGAAAGCUGGAUAAUGUUGACUCCAAUGCUUCCCACGAUUGUGUCAAGUUUGCUUGAUGUCCUUUGGAUGGUGGACCAUACUUGACACACACAGUGAACUGUUGACCAUCAAACCCAGCAGUGUUGUAGUUCUUGAGACAAACCUGUGCGCCUGGCACCAACGACCAUAACCUGUUUUAAAAGGGCUUUUUAAAAAAUCUGCUUGAAAAUCUGGCAAGAUUUGAAAAUGGUUGUCUAGCGAUGAUCAACAACCAAUUUGAUAGAGCUUGAAGAAUUUAGAAAGUAUAGAUGGGCAAAUAAUGUACAAUCCAGGUGUGUAAAGCUCUUAGAGACUUACAAACAUACGUUUCUAUUCAGGACAAAAAGUGAAUUGCUUAGAGAAAUGUUUUACAGUAUUACUGUAAGGUCACCUAGAGGUUAGAGCAUUGGGCCAGUAACCGAAAAGGUGCUAGAUCAAAUCCCCGAGCUGACAAGGUACAAAUCUGUCGUUCUGCCCCUGAACAAGGCAGUUAACCCACUGUUCC
Molecule: long non-coding RNA, 1000 nt
Organism: Oncorhynchus tshawytscha (Chinook salmon)
Lineage: Eukaryota; Metazoa; Chordata; Actinopteri; Salmoniformes; Salmonidae
Source: Ensembl